This 742-nucleotide ribosomal RNA is filed under the name Escherichia coli. RNAcentral's name for it is "partial 23S ribosomal RNA". It matches the Rfam family "Bacterial large subunit ribosomal RNA", at positions 1 to 786 of the family's 2925-position model. Lineage: Bacteria; Pseudomonadati; Pseudomonadota; Gammaproteobacteria; Enterobacterales; Enterobacteriaceae. The record is from RNAcentral.
GGUUAAGCGACUAAGCGUACACGGUGGAUGCCCUGGCAGUCAGAGGCGAUGAAGGACGUGCUAAUCUGCGAUAAGCGUCGGUGAGGUGAUAUGAACCGUUAUAACCGGCGAUUUCCGAAUGGGGAAACCCAGUGUGUUUCGACACACUAUCAUUAACUGAAUCCAUAGGUUAAUGAGGCGAACCGGGGGAACUGAAACAUCUAAGUACCCCGAGGAAAAGAAAUCAACCGAGAUUCCCCCAGUAGCGGCGAGCGAACGGGGAGGAGCCCAGAGCCUGAAUCAGUGUGUGUGUUAGUGGAAGCGUCUGGAAAGGCGCGCGAUACAGGGUGACAGCCCCGUACACAAAAAUGCACAUAUUGUGAGCUCGAUGAGUAGGGCGGGACACGUGGUAUCCUGUCUGAAUAUGGGGGGACCAUCCUCCAAGGCUAAAUACUCCUGACUGACCGAUAGUGAACCAGUACCGUGAGGGAAAGGCGAAAAGAACCCCGGCGAGGGGAGUGAAAAAGAACCUGAAACCGUGUACGUACAAGCAGUGGGAGCCUCUUAAUGGGGUGACUGCGUACCUUUUGUAUAAUGGGUCAGCGACUUAUAUUCUGUAGCAAGGUUAACCGAAUAGGGGAGCCGAAGGGAAACCGAGUCUUAACUGGGCGUUAAGUUGCAGGGUAUAGACCCGAAACCCGGUGAUCUAGCCAUGGGCAGGUUGAAGGUUGGGUAACACUAACUGGAGGACCGAACCGACUAA